CCCGGCUGCAUGUGCAGAGGUGUACUCUGCAGCGGGGCUAGAGCACAGCUGUGCCACGUGGCCUCCUUUUGGGGCUAUUUGUGUCCAGGGUUCUGAGGGGGCAAAGGCCGCUUGUGCUGUUGAAGGAGCAGGCUGGAGUCACAUGCUGUUGACAGCUCCUCUCCUGGGUUGCUGUGAGAAUAAACUGAGGGACAGCCUGGAGUUAUUCCACAUGGCCAGAGGUGCACUAAGGCACAUUUCUGAGGUGUCCCACUCGCAGGCCUGUGAGAAGGAUCACUCUAUGAAAGUUUCACCCGGUUGUGGUCACACCUCACAAUGACCUUGGCACUGCGCCCUGCCUGCCUGGAACUCCUCUUGGCUGCCUCCCAGACACAGAGUGAAGAGCUGUGGUCAUUGGGAGGCCCUGGUCUCUUCCUUCCAUUUCCUUGGCCAUGUGCGUAAACCAUCAGUUUGUAUCAUUCAUCUUGUAAUUGAAACUCCCUUGGGUUAAAUUCACAGACAGGCUCCGAGCCUCCCUCAACAGGACAUUCUUUCAGAUCCUUUGAAAGAACAGGUGAGUCUCCUUGAUCUCUAAGUCUUGUAUCAUUGCAGAGGUUCUUUGAUCCUCAAAGCUGUUUUCAGACGGCCAGCUGGGGACUGGAGGGCAGAUGCUGGAGCCCCUGACACCUUCCUGGGACAGGUGGGCCUCUAAGGGAG
Molecule: long non-coding RNA, 696 nt
Organism: Bos indicus x Bos taurus (hybrid cattle)
Lineage: Eukaryota; Metazoa; Chordata; Mammalia; Artiodactyla; Bovidae
Source: Ensembl